UAUUGUAUUUAAAAAAAAAUCCCUAAAAGCUUCAGCCCCCAGCCGACCCUCUCUUCUCCCCUGCCCUGCCGACCCUAUCUUCUCCCUCAGCCUUUCCAUGAGUCUCCCUCAGUUUCAGACUCGCACCUGGCCGCACAUGGACGCCGUCGACGAGAUCCGUGGCUCGCUCAAGCAGAUGCGGAGAGGCUUGCUGCAACGGUGGCUCGUGGCUCGCGGCUCGCGGCUCACGAUGAGGUGGUGGCUCGCGAUGAGGCGGUGGGUUCCAGCCGUGGGUUCAGUUGUGGACUAAGGCUCGAUGAAAAAGGGACAAGCAGGGGCUAAGGUGGACAAUGAAGGGAUAUCGUCAGAGCUCUAAUGGCGAGGGCUUGAACGGCGCAGGCGAGGGUCGACUGUGACUUCAUUGAAGAGGUCGAACAGAAAGGAAGAGAGAUGUUCCGGAGCCGAUUAUCACCAUUUUUGUUGGUGAAGAGCAACCGUAAGGCUCUCUACAACCACCUCACCCAAGCAACAUCAUCUUCGUCUAGAGUUGUGAGGGAGGAGACCUCUAGAUUUUUCUCCACCGGAAUCGUACGGAGAAUUCUGCAUGACUUCCGAUCUUCCCCUAAGGUUCUUCUAACUCUAUCCUUAGAACUAAAA
Humulus lupulus (European hop) is the source of this 636-nucleotide long non-coding RNA. RefSeq lists it as uncharacterized. The transcript is spliced from 3 exons. The record is from RefSeq and is a predicted model, not a curated record. Lineage: Eukaryota; Viridiplantae; Streptophyta; Magnoliopsida; Rosales; Cannabaceae.